This 253-nucleotide ribosomal RNA is filed under the name uncultured bacterium. RNAcentral's name for it is "partial 16S ribosomal RNA". It matches the Rfam family "Bacterial small subunit ribosomal RNA", at positions 524 to 776 of the family's 1533-position model. The record is from RNAcentral.
GACGGAAGGUGCAAGCGUUGCUCGGAAUCACUGGGCGUAAAGGGUGCGUAGGCGGCCGUGCAAGUCGGGCGUGAAAUCCCUGGGCUCAACCCAGGAACUGCACUCGAAACUACUUGUCUUGAGUGCCGGAGAGGAAAGCGGAAUUCCUGGUGUAGAGGUGAAAUUCGUAGAUAUCAGGAGGAACACCAGUGGCGAAGGCGGCUUUCUGGACCGACACUGACGCUGAGGCGCGAAAGCUAGGGGAGCAAACGGG